This 433-nucleotide ribosomal RNA is filed under the name uncultured bacterium. RNAcentral's name for it is "bacterial SSU rRNA". It matches the Rfam family "Bacterial small subunit ribosomal RNA", at positions 29 to 507 of the family's 1533-position model. The record is from RNAcentral.
AACGAACGCUGGCGGCAUGCCUAACACAUGCAAGUCGAACGAUGCCUUCGGGCAUAGUGGCGCACGGGUGCGUAACGCGUGGGAAUCUGCCCUUGGGUUCGGAAUAACUCAGAGAAAUUUGAGCUAAUACCGGAUGAUGACGUAAGUCCAAAGAUUUAUCGCCCAAGGAUGAGCCCGCGUAAGAUUAGCUAGUUGGUGGGGUAAAGGCCUACCAAGGCGACGAUCUUUAGCUGGUCUGAGAGGAUGAUCAGCCACACUGGGACUGAGACACGGCCCAGACUCCUACGGGAGGCAGCAGUGGGGAAUAUUGGACAAUGGGCGAAAGCCUGAUCCAGCAAUGCCGCGUGAGUGAUGAAGGCCUUAGGGUUGUAAAGCUCUUUUACCAGGGAUGAUAAUGACAGUACCGAAAGAAUAAGCACCGGCUAACUUCGUG